AGUUCGAUUAUGGCUCAGAUUGAACGCUGGCGGGAUGCUUUACACAUGCAAGUCGAACGGCAGCACGGACUUCGGUCUGGUGGCGAGUGGCGAACGGGUGAGUAAUAUCGGAACGUGCCUAGUAGCGGGGAUAACUACGCGAAAGCGUAGCUAAUACCGCAUACGCCCUUCGGGGGAAAGCGGGGACCUUCGGGCCUCGCACUAUUAGGAGCGGCCGAUAUCGGAUAGCUAGUUGGUGGGGUAACGGCUCACCAAGGCGACGAUCCGUAGCUGGUUUGAGAGGACGACCAGCCACACUGGGACUGAGACACGGCCCAGACUCCUACGGGAGGCAGCAGUGGGGAAUUUUGGACAAUGGGGAAACCCUGAUCCAGCCAUCCCGCGUGUGCGAUGGAAGCGCCUUCGGUUGAAGCACUUUGGCAGGAAAGAAACGCACGGGAUAAUACCCCGUGCAACUGACGGUACCGCAGUAAUGCAGCACUGGCUAACUACGUGCCAGCAGCCGCGUAAUACGUAGGGUGCAAGCGUUAAUCGGAAUCACUUGGCGCGUGCGCAGGCGGUUCGGAAAGAAAGAUGUGAAAUCCCAGAGCUGCACCUUGAAACUGCAUUUUUAACUACCGAGCUGUAGAGUGUGUCAGAGGGAGGUGGAAUUCCGCGUAGCAGUGAAAUGCGUAGAUAUGCGGAGGAACACCGAUGGCAAAGGCAGCCUCCAAGAUACCGACGCUCAUGCACGAAAGCGUAGAGCAAACAGAUUAGAUACCCUGGUAGUCCACGCCCUAAACGAUGUCAACUAGCUGUUGGGGCCUCGGGCCUGGUAGCAGCUAACGCGUGAAGUUGACCGCCUGGGGAGUACGGUCAAAAGAUUAAAACCAAAGUGAAUGACGGGGACUCCGCACAAGCGGUGGAUGAUGUGGAUUAAUCGAUGCAACGAAAACCUUACCUACCUUGAUGUCUGGAAUCGAAGAGAUUUGGGAGUGCUCGCAAGAGAACCGGAACACAGGUGCCGCAUGGCUGUCGUCAGCUCGUGUCGUGAGAUGUUGGGUUAAGUCCUGCAACGAGCGGCAACCUUGUCAUUAGUUGCUACGAAAGGGCACUCUAAUGAGACUGCCGGUGACAAACCGAGGAAGGUGGGGAUGACGUCGUAAGUCCUCAUGGGCUCCAGGUGCAGGGGGCUUCACACGUCAUACACGGUCGGGACAGAGGGUCGCCAACCCGCGAGGGGAGCCAAUCCCAGAAACCCGAUCAGUCCGAUCGCAGUCUGCAACUCGACUGCGUGAAGUCGGAAUCGCCAGUAAUCGCGGAUCAGCAUGUCGUGCGGUGAAUACGUUCCUGGUCUUGUACACACCGCCCGUCACACCAUGGGAGUGGGUUUACCAGAAGUAGUUAGCCUAACCGUAAGGAGGGCGAUUACCACGGUAGGAUUCAGACGGAAGUGGAAGCCGCAACAAGGUAG
RNAcentral lists this ribosomal RNA (1453 nucleotides) under uncultured Bordetella sp. Its description in RNAcentral is "partial 16S-23S ribosomal RNA intergenic spacer". It matches the Rfam family "Bacterial small subunit ribosomal RNA". Lineage: Bacteria; Pseudomonadati; Pseudomonadota; Betaproteobacteria; Burkholderiales; Alcaligenaceae. The record is from RNAcentral.